AUCGCUUCUCGGCCUUUUGGCUAAGAUCAAGUGUAGCCUUUAUAGUAUACUUGAACUCACAUUUGUCAUUUUGUGUUGUUUUCUGAAUUCCUAAGAAAAACAUAUUGGUUGUAAUGUCUUCCUAUGUGGAAGUACAGAUUUAAUUAACU
This 149-nucleotide small nuclear RNA is filed under the name Suricata suricatta (meerkat). RNAcentral's name for it is "U2 spliceosomal RNA (ENSSSUG00005005857.1)". It matches the Rfam family "U2 spliceosomal RNA". Rfam says of the family: U2 is a small nuclear RNA (snRNA) component of the spliceosome (involved in pre-mRNA splicing). Complementary binding between U2 snRNA (in an area lying towards the 5' end but 3' to hairpin I) and the branchpoint sequence (BPS) of the intron results the bulging out of an unpaired adenosine, on the BPS, which initiates a nucleophilic attack at the intronic 5' splice site, thus starting the first of two transesterification reactions that mediate splicing. Lineage: Eukaryota; Metazoa; Chordata; Mammalia; Carnivora; Herpestidae. The record is from RNAcentral.